UUUGUCUUUUAAUUGGGGGCUGGGAUGAAUGGGUUGACAACCCUUAGACUUUUAUUAAUAGAACAAUGUAAAUUUAUUUCUACUUUAAAAAGUGUAGCUUUCUUGGGGGGACGAUAAGACCCUGUGAAACUUUAUUAUUACCGUAAAAAGAGGGCAGAAAUUUUUAAUGCGGGUGUAGUUGAGCUGGGGCGGCAGCUAAAAAACUUUAGAAGAUUUAACACUAAUUAGUGAAAAGGAGGUUCUUUUAUAAAUCAAAAAAGUUACUCCAGGGAUAACAGCGUAAUUUAUAAAGAUAAAUUAUAUUUUUAUAAGACUUACGACCUCGAUGUUGAAUUGAGGGGCCAGAAUCUCUAUGAUUUUUUUGGGGGUCUGUUCGACCCUUAAAUCCUC
Molecule: ribosomal RNA, 390 nt
Filed under: Macrostylis sp. ML23
Lineage: Eukaryota; Metazoa; Arthropoda; Malacostraca; Isopoda; Macrostylidae
Description: partial 16S ribosomal RNA
Rfam family: Bacterial large subunit ribosomal RNA
Source: RNAcentral